RNAcentral lists this ribosomal RNA (815 nucleotides) under uncultured bacterium. RNAcentral describes it as "bacterial SSU rRNA". It matches the Rfam family "Bacterial small subunit ribosomal RNA", at positions 9 to 813 of the family's 1533-position model. The record is from RNAcentral.
GAGUUUGAUCCUGGCUCAGGAUGAACGCUAGCUACAGGCUUAACACAUGCAAGUCGAGGGGCAGCAUGGUCUUAGCUUGCUAAGGCCGAUGGCGACCGGCGCACGGGUGAGUAACGCGUAUCCAACCUGCCGUCCAGUAGGGGACAGCCCGUAGAAAUGCGGAUUAAUACCCUAUGUUCUCCGAGGAUGACAUCAGAUUCGGAGUAAAGAUUCAUCGCUGGACGAUGGGGAUGCGUCUGAUUAGGCAGCAGGCGGGGCAACGGCCCACCUGGCCAACGAUCAGUAGGGGUUCUGAGAGGAAGGUCCCCCACAUUGGAACUGAGACACGGUCCAAACUCCUACGGGAGGCAGCAGUGAGGAAUAUUGGUCAAUGGGCGCGAGCCUGAACCAGCCAAGUAGCGUGAGGGAAGACUGCCCUACGGGUUGUAAACCUCUUUUGUUCGGGAAUAAAGUGCGGCACGCGUGCCGUUUUGUAUGUACCGUUCGAAUAAGGACCGGCUAAUUCCGUGCCAGCAGCCGCGGUAAUACGGAAGGUCCAGGCGUUAUCCGGAUUUAUUGGGUUUAAAGGGAGCGCAGGCGGCCCGUUAAGCGUGACGUGAAAUGUAGUUGCUCAACAUCUGCACUGCGUCGCGAACUGGUGGGCUUGAGUUCACGGUAGGAAGGCGGAAUUCGUGGUGUAGCGGUGAAAUGCUUUGAUAUCACGAAGAACUCCGAUUGCGAAGGCAGCCCACAAGGCCUUUACUGACGCUAAAGCUCGAAGGUGCGGGUAUCGAACAGGAUUAGAUACCCUGGUAGUCCGCACGGUAAACGAUGGA